This 104-nucleotide small nucleolar RNA is filed under the name Termitomyces sp. J132. RNAcentral's name for it is "Small nucleolar RNA SNORA17". The record is from Rfam by way of RNAcentral. Lineage: Eukaryota; Fungi; Basidiomycota; Agaricomycetes; Agaricales; Lyophyllaceae.
GUUGCGGCUCUUGUUGCUGUAUGACUUGUGCAAAAGAGGCCUGCAAAGAGCACAGAGCAAAGGUUUGUGAGCAUGCUGCCAUGCAUGCUUAUUAUGCUGAGCAU